This 404-nucleotide ribosomal RNA is filed under the name Fusobacteriota bacterium. RNAcentral describes it as "Fusobacteria bacterium partial 16S ribosomal RNA". It matches the Rfam family "Bacterial small subunit ribosomal RNA", at positions 355 to 776 of the family's 1533-position model. Lineage: Bacteria; Fusobacteriati; Fusobacteriota. The record is from RNAcentral.
UGGGGAAUAUUGCACAAUGGAGGGAACUCUGAUGCAGCGACGCCGCGUGAGUGAUGAAGGAAUUCGUUUCGUAAAACUCUGUUCUAUGGGAAGAAAAGGACUGUACCAUAGGAGAAAGCUCCGGCUAAAUACGUGCCAGCAGCCGCGGUAAUACGUAUGGAGCGAGCGUUGUCCGGAAUUAUUGGGCGUAAAGGGUGCGCAGGCGGCUUUACAAGUUGGAUGUGAAAUAUUGUGGCUCAACCACAAACGUGCAUCCAAAACUGCAAAGCUAGAGUUAAGGAGAGGUAAGUGGAAUUCCUGGUGUAGCGGUGGAAUGCGUAGAUAUCAGGAGGAAUACCGGUGGCGAAGGCGACUUACUGGACUUAAACUGACGCUCAGGCACGAAAGCGUGGGGAGCAAACAGG